This 594-nucleotide ribosomal RNA is filed under the name Escherichia coli. RNAcentral's name for it is "partial 23S ribosomal RNA". It matches the Rfam family "Bacterial large subunit ribosomal RNA", at positions 599 to 1194 of the family's 2925-position model. The record is from RNAcentral. Lineage: Bacteria; Pseudomonadati; Pseudomonadota; Gammaproteobacteria; Enterobacterales; Enterobacteriaceae.
GCGUACCUUUUGUAUAAUGGGUCAGCGACUUAUAUUCUGUAGCAAGGUUAACCGAAUAGGGGAGCCGAAGGGAAACCGAGUCUUAACUGGGCGUUAAGUUGCAGGGUAUAGACCCGAAACCCGGUGAUCUAGCCAUGGGCAGGUUGAAGGUUGGGUAACACUAACUGGAGGACCGAACCGACUAAUGUUGAAAAAUUAGCGGAUGACUUGUGGCUGGGGGUGAAAGGCCAAUCAAACCGGGAGAUAGCUGGUUCUCCCCGAAAGCUAUUUAGGUAGCGCCUCGUGAAUUCAUCUCCGGGGGUAGAGCACUGUUUCGGCAAGGGGGUCAUCCCGACUUACCAACCCGAUGCAAACUGCGAAUACCGGAGAAUGUUAUCACGGGAGACACACGGCGGGUGCUAACGUCCGUCGUGAAGAGGGAAACAACCCAGACCGCCAGCUAAGGUCCCAAAGUCAUGGUUAAGUGGGAAACGAUGUGGGAAGGCCCAGACAGCCAGGAUGUUGGCUUAGAAGCAGCCAUCAUUUAAAGAAAGCGUAAUAGCUCACUGGUCGAGUCGGCCUGCGCGGAAGAUGUAACGGGGCUAAACCAUGCAC